RNAcentral lists this long non-coding RNA (1342 nucleotides) under Sparus aurata (gilthead seabream). Its description in RNAcentral is "lncRNA (ENSSAUG00010001813.1)". The record is from RNAcentral. Lineage: Eukaryota; Metazoa; Chordata; Actinopteri; Spariformes; Sparidae.
UUUCCUCUUUCAGGUAAUAUCAGCAUUGGCGUCAUCGUCGGGAUUGUCAUUGCCGUGAUUGUCAUCAUUUGUAUUGUCUGUGUGGCAUUCAAUGGGUGGUCACAAGGAAUACAGGGAGCAGCCGUGUGUCUGUGUCUGUGCCUGGGAGAGAUUCUGCAGGAAUGCUGAGAAGCACCCACACCAGCAGAGCUUGUUUUUAUGCUUGCUUUUAUUCCACCCAGGAGGCGUUUAUUGGGCAUCUUCACUUGUUUGUCUCUAUGAAACCCUACCAUGAAGACCAUAAAUCUACCACAAACCAGGGCCACAUACUACAGCAUUUAUAGCCCAAGCUAGUUUGGACCGUUAAGUGAAAAUACGAUCAAAACUGUACAAAACACAAACAAUUUCCAAGAAUUGUAGGGUUCAAGAGGUUCCAGGAAUCUCAAACCGGACCGGUACAAGAAGCAGAGCUAAUGUAGUUGAGAAGGAGCUACAGCAGAACCAUCGGGUCACUGAGCACUGUAGGAGUCUGGUUAGUUAGGCAUGUGUUUAAAAUCAGCUAAUUUAAUCAAACGAUUCAAACUUAAAUUUGCAUAACCCUAUUCACUUUCUUACCGAGAGUUAGAUGAGAAGAUCAACAUCUGCCUUUCUGUUAAACAUGAAGCUAUAGCCAGCCACCAGUUAGCUUAGCUUAGCUUAGCAUAAAGACUGGACACAGGUGGAAACAGCCAGCCUAGCUUUAGCAACAAAAUCUUCUUUCCACCAUCCCUGAAGUCUUGUUGUCACAGUGAGAUAAAAACCAGAGACGUCAGGAAGUCACUGCACCCGGCCAAGAAAUAGUUCCUGAACAUGACUGAACAAAAAAACCAUGACAUUUGUUUUGGACGAAUGUUUUUGUUUUUGGACGAAUUAGACUAAUGAUACGUAACAUGUGAUGCUUCCACCUGUUCCCAGUCUGUAUGCUAAGCUAAGCUAAGCUAAGCUAAGCUACCUGGCUGUUGCUUCACAUUAAUCGUACAAUGUGAUCUAAUUUCUUUAAGAUUUUUGUAGUUUGUUUAUUUUUAGUUUGGUUUGGUAAGCGUAGAUUUCACAUGAUUAUGUUUAUUGUUUUAAGCUUUAUUCAGAUCUGGAGCCCAGCACUACAGGGCAGUCACCUCUUGUUAGUCAUCCCUGAGCCAGGAUAUAAAACACUUUUAUCAAAAUAGAUGAAUUGAAUCAAAUAAACUUUCACAUUUCCUUGACACCUCGUUGAUGUUCUUGUUUUCUUUCCAAGAGUCGACAUGUGAAACGGACUGCAAACUGACAUUAAAUUUAAUUCAGUCUAAAAAAAACAAAACUGUUGCUAUAAUGACCCAAAUGACGA